CGGUGAAAUGCUUAGAUAUCACGAAGAACUCCGAUUGCGAAAGGCAGCUCACUGGACUGCAACUGACACUGAUGCUCGAAAGUGUGGGUAUCAAACAGGAUUAGAUACCCUGGUAGUCCACACAGUAAACGAUGAAUACUCGCUGUUUGCGAUAUACAGUAAGCGGCCAAGCGAAAGCAUUAAGUAUUCCACCUGGGGAGUACGCCGGCAACGGUGAAACUCAAAGGAAUUGACGGGGGCCCGCACAAGCGGAGGAACAUGUGGUUUAAUUCGAUGAUACGCGAGGAACUUUACCCGGGCUUAAAUUGCAGUGGAAUGAUGUGGAAACAUGUCAGUGAGCAAUCACCGCUGUGAAGGUGCUGCAUGGUUGUCGUCAGCUCGUGCCGUGAGGUGUCGGCUUAAGUGCCAUAACGGGCGCAACCCUUAUCUUUAGUUACUAACAGGUUAUGCUGAGGACUCUAGAGAGACUGCCGUCGUAAGAUGUGAGGAAGGUGGGGAUGACGUCAAAUCAGCACGGCCCUUACGUCCGGGGCUACACACGUGUUACAAUGGGGGGUACAGAAGGCAGCUAGCGGGUGACCGUAUGCUAAUCCCAAAAGCCUCUCUCAGUUCGGAUCGAAGUCUGCAACCCGACUUCGUGAAGCUGGAUUCGCUAGUAAUCGCGCAUCAGCCACGGCGCGGUGAAUACGUUCCCGGGCCUUGUACACACCGCCCGUCAAGCCAUGGGAGCCGGGGGUACCUGAAGUACGUAACCGCAAGGAUCGUCCUAGGGUAAAACUGGUGACUG
RNAcentral lists this ribosomal RNA (787 nucleotides) under uncultured organism. RNAcentral's name for it is "SSU rRNA". It matches the Rfam family "Bacterial small subunit ribosomal RNA", at positions 679 to 1477 of the family's 1533-position model. The record is from RNAcentral.